RNAcentral lists this ribosomal RNA (165 nucleotides) under Cistanche tubulosa. RNAcentral's name for it is "5.8S ribosomal RNA". It matches the Rfam family "5.8S ribosomal RNA". From Rfam's summary of the family: 5.8S ribosomal RNA (5.8S rRNA) is a component of the large subunit of the eukaryotic ribosome. It is transcribed by RNA polymerase I as part of the 45S precursor that also contains 18S and 28S rRNA. Functionally, it is thought that 5.8S rRNA may be involved in ribosome translocation. RNAcentral also lists the same sequence under 2 other names. Lineage: Eukaryota; Viridiplantae; Streptophyta; Magnoliopsida; Lamiales; Orobanchaceae. The record is from RNAcentral.
AAACGACUCUCGGCAACGGAUAUCUCGGCUCUCGCAUCGAUGAAGAACGUAGCGAAAUGCGAUACUUGGUGUGAAUUGCAGAAUCCCGUGAACCAUCGAGUCUUUGAACGCAAGUUGCGCCCAAAGCCUUUUGGCCAAGGGCACGUCUGCUUGGGCGUCACGCAU